UCCCUGGUGGUCCAGUGGUUAAGACUCUGUGCUUCCACUGCAGGGGACCUGGGUUCAAUCCUUGGUUAGGGAA
This 73-nucleotide transfer RNA is filed under the name Bos taurus (domestic cattle). It matches the Rfam family "tRNA". From Rfam's summary of the family: Transfer RNA (tRNA) molecules are approximately 80 nucleotides in length. Their secondary structure includes four short double-helical elements and three loops (D, anti-codon, and T loops). The record is from Rfam by way of RNAcentral. RNAcentral also lists the same sequence under 1 other name. Lineage: Eukaryota; Metazoa; Chordata; Mammalia; Artiodactyla; Bovidae.